This 491-nucleotide ribosomal RNA is filed under the name uncultured bacterium. RNAcentral describes it as "bacterial SSU rRNA". It matches the Rfam family "Bacterial small subunit ribosomal RNA", at positions 28 to 521 of the family's 1533-position model. The record is from RNAcentral.
GAUGAACGCUGGCGGCGUGCUUAACACAUGCAAGUCGAACGGAGCUAUGACACGGAGUCUUCGGACGAAGUGCUGUAGCUUAGUGGCGGACGGGUGAGUAACACGUGAGCAACCUACCUUUUGCAGGGGAAUAACUCUGGGAAACCAGAGCUAAUACCGCAUGCCGUGCGCUUGGGGCAUCCCAGGUGCAUGAAAGGAGCAAUCCGGCAGAAGAUGGGCUCGCGUCCGAUUAGGUAGUUGGAGAGGUAAUGGCUCCCCAAGCCGACGAUCGGUAGCCGGACUGAGAGGUCGAUCGGCCACAUUGGGACUGAGACACGGCCCAGACUCCUACGGGAGGCAGCAGUGGGGAAUAUUGGGCAAUGGGCGGAAGCCUGACCCAGCGACGCCGCGUGAAGGAGGAAGGCUUUCGAGUUGUAAACUUCUUUGGGGAGGACGAAGAUGACGGUACCUCCAGAACAAGCCACGGCUAACUACGUGCCAGCAGCCGCGGU